This 790-nucleotide ribosomal RNA is filed under the name Scoliciosporum cf. umbrinum. RNAcentral describes it as "SSU rRNA". It matches the Rfam family "Bacterial small subunit ribosomal RNA", at positions 405 to 1221 of the family's 1533-position model. Lineage: Eukaryota; Fungi; Ascomycota; Lecanoromycetes; Lecanorales; Lecanoraceae. The record is from RNAcentral.
AUGAUGCAAAAUCGACUACGUUGAAUAAAAUUCCAGGCAGAAUUAUGAUAAUGACAUUGUUUGCCUGAAUGUCUUGACCAAAUUACGUGCCAGCAGUCGCGGUAAUACGUAGAAGACUAGUGUUAUUCAUCUUUAAUAGGUUUAAAGGGUACCUAGACGGUAAAUCAAGCCAUAGAAGGGACUAAUUUGCUAGAGUUACUUGUGAGGGGGCAUUAAAGUACUAAUGGUGUAGAGAUGAAAUUUUGUGAUACCAAUUCUUGAAAAAGAAGUGAUGGCACUGGUAUAGGCGAAAGCAUCCCCUUAUGUGAUAACUGACGUUGAAGGACGAAGGCUUUGUGUAGCGAACAGGAUUAGAUACCCUAGUAGUCAAAGCAGAAAAUGAUGAAUGUCAUAGAUUAGAUCACUCAUAAAAACAAUUUAUUGUAGAGAUAUAUUUAUUCUAUAAAUGAAAGUGUAAGCAUUCCACCUCAAGAGUAAUUUGGCAACAUUGGAACUGAAAUCAUUAGACCGUUUCUGAAACCAGUAGUGAAGUAUGUUGUUUAAUUUGAUGAUCCGCAAAAAACCUUACCACAGUUUGAAUAUUUAUAUUUUUUUUAUUUUACAUGAAAAAUUAUAUUUACAAGCGUUGCACGGUUGUCUUCAGUUAAUGUCGCGAGACUUUGGUUAGUUCCAUUAAAUUAACGUAAGCCCUUACUUUAUUUACAUAUAAAGUUGUUUCCCCGCUAUAUUGGGAUAUGAUAACAGGGACUAAGACAAAUCAUCAUGGCCUGAAUAACUGUGGGCUAUAGAC